UGUAUGUUUGGUUUGAUUCUUUGGUUCAUGGUUUGCAGCAAGUAAUUUUUAUCUAUGCAAUCUCUUGGCGUGGAGUGCCACCUAUGAAUCGUCUCUGUGACCUUACUACUCCCUCCAUUCCAAAUUACUACUCGUGGAGGGAGUACAUGUUUGGAUCGACUCUCAUCCAGUGUCUCCUGAUUAAACCGUCCCUUCACAAAAAAUCCCGAUCAGCGGAACAACAUCAUGCCCCCAAAAAGAUUCCUGCCCUCCCUACUUUCCUUCCACCCGGCCCGACGAACCAACACCCGGCCCGACGAACCAACACCCAGCCCGCCUACCUACACCCGAUGGACCUCACUGGAUCCAUCGUUUUCAGCCCAAUAACCCCCGAAACCCUAGACAUACCAGCUACUAUAUAAUCCCUCCCUCGAACGGCCGAGGGGCACCAGAUCCUUCCAUUCGAAGCGCCGCCGCCGCCAUUCCGCCGAGAUCCCCCGAGCCCUCGUCGCGGAGAUCACCUCGUCUCACCCGUGCGAUGGCCAACAACCCCCCUCGUUUCUCCUUCCUGGUGAAAUAUUUGAUGAUGAUUCCCCGGCUCUUGACAUGACCGACCACGUCAAUGACUUGGCUGAAGCCGUGGGAGAUGGCAAGUGAAGCUGCCCCACCCCUUUCAAGUGAAGAUGACGUUUUGCCCGCCUGAAGCAAGAGAUUAUCUGUUCGGUCUAUCUUGAAUGUGAACGUUGUUUAUUCAGUACUACCUGUAGUUUAAGUUCUUUAUGUCUUUGGAGCAAAAUUUUGAAAUGGCUUUGAUCUGUGGAUAGAAAUGUUGACUCUUAUCCUUCUUCUGGUUUAGCUGUGGAUAUAAUGGGUGAAGUAACAUAUAUGCUUCAUGCACCAGCUAUAAGUUCUGGCUGGUAGAACUUUUGACUUUUGAAAAAACUAUGUUGUCCGACUGCAGAUCUUUGAAUCGGCUUUGAGCUGAUGAUACAGAUGUUUCUAUCGUA
Long non-coding RNA from Triticum urartu, 986 nucleotides. RefSeq lists it as uncharacterized. NCBI's taxonomy places the organism in Eukaryota, Viridiplantae, Streptophyta, Magnoliopsida, Poales, Poaceae. The record is from RefSeq and is a predicted model, not a curated record.